UAGUCCAUGCCGUAAACGAUGAUUACUAGCUAUUGGCGAUACACUGUCAGUGGCAAAGCGAAAGCGAUAAGUAAUCCACCUGGGGAGUACGAUCGCAAGGUCGAAACUCAAAGGAAUUGACGGGGGCCCGCACAAGCGGUGGAGCAUGUGGUUUAAUUCGAUGAUACGCGAGGAACCUUACCUGGGCUUAAAUGCAUAAUGACAGACUGGGAAACCAGUCCUUCUUCGGACAGAAUGCAAGGUGCUGCAUGGCUGUCGUCAGCUCGUGCUGUGAGGUGUCGGGUUAAGUCCCAUAACGAGCGCAACCCCUAUUUCUAGUUGCCAGCACAUAAUGGUGGGGACUCUAGAAAACUGCCUACGCAAGUAGAGAGGAAGGUGGGGACGACGUCAAGUCAUCACGGCCCUUACGUCCAGGGCUACACACGUGCUACAAUGGUAGAGACAGAGGGCAGCCACUUGGUGACAAGGAGCUAAUCCUUAAACUCUAUCUCAGUUC
RNAcentral lists this ribosomal RNA (496 nucleotides) under uncultured bacterium. RNAcentral describes it as "bacterial SSU rRNA". It matches the Rfam family "Bacterial small subunit ribosomal RNA", at positions 791 to 1294 of the family's 1533-position model. The record is from RNAcentral.